This 495-nucleotide ribosomal RNA is filed under the name uncultured Arsenophonus sp. Its description in RNAcentral is "bacterial LSU rRNA". It matches the Rfam family "Bacterial large subunit ribosomal RNA", at positions 224 to 760 of the family's 2925-position model. The record is from RNAcentral. Lineage: Bacteria; Pseudomonadati; Pseudomonadota; Gammaproteobacteria; Enterobacterales; Morganellaceae.
AUCAACCGAGAUUCCCCCAGUAGCGGCGAGCGAACGGGGAGCAGCCCAGAGUCAGCAUCAAUAUUUACUGCAGGAGAAGGGUCUGGAAAGGCCGGCAAUAAAGGGUGAUAGCCCCGUAUCUGAAGCGGUAAAUGUUGUGAGCUCGAAGAGUAGGGCGGGACACGUGUUAUCCUGUCUGAAUAUGGGGGGACCAUCCUCCAAGGCUAAAUACUCCUGACUGACCGAUAGUGAACCAGUACCGUGAGGGAAAGGCGAAAAGAACCCCGGCGAGGGGAGUGAAAUAGAACCUGAAACCGUCUACGUACAAGCAGUGGGAGCACCCGCAAGGGUGUGACUGCGUACCUUUUGUAUAAUGGGUCAGCGACUUAUAUUCUGUAGCAAGGUUAACCGCAUAGGGGAGCCGUAGGGAAACCGAGUCUUAACUGGGCGUCAAGUUGCAGGGUAUAGACCCGAAACCCGGUGAUCUAGCCAUGGGCAGGUUGAAGGUUGGGUAAC